This 494-nucleotide ribosomal RNA is filed under the name uncultured bacterium. RNAcentral describes it as "partial 16S ribosomal RNA". It matches the Rfam family "Bacterial small subunit ribosomal RNA", at positions 28 to 507 of the family's 1533-position model. The record is from RNAcentral.
GACGAACGCUGGCGGCGCGCUUAACACAUGCUAGUCGAACGGAAAGGCCUGCUUUCCCUUGUGGAUUGCGGGUACUCGAGUGGCGAACGGGUGAGUAACACGUGAGUGAUCUGCCCCCAACUUGGGUAUAAGCCUGGGAAACUGGGUCUAAUUCCCGAUAGGACUGCAGGGUGGUGCCUGUGGUGGAAAACGAUUUUCUAGUGGUUGGGGAUGAGCUCGCGGCCUAUCAGCUUGUUGGUGGGGUAAUGGCCUACCAAGGCGGCGACGGGUAGCCGGCCUGAGAGGGUGGACGGCCACAUUGGGACUGAGAUACGGCCCAGACUCCUACGGGAGGCAGCAGUGGGGAAUAUUGCACAAUGGGCGGAAGCCUGAUGCAGCGACGCCGCGUGGGGGAUGACGGCCUUCGGGUUGUAAACUCCUUUCGACCGCGAGGAAGCCACCUGGUUGGAAGGGUGGUGACGGUAGUGGUAGAAGAAGCACCGGCUAACUACGUG